Molecule: non-coding RNA, 756 nt
Organism: Oryctolagus cuniculus (rabbit)
Lineage: Eukaryota; Metazoa; Chordata; Mammalia; Lagomorpha; Leporidae
Source: RefSeq, a predicted model, not a curated record
AAGAGAGAAGGGAGCCGUGGCGCGGCCUGCUCAGACACAGGAAUCCGAAUGUGGCUUUUGAUUUUGACCACUGGGAAGAGUGUGAAGAGGACAGCCACUUCUCCAAGGCUGUGACUUCUAAGAGGCUGCCCUGCAAAGUGGCAGAGGUGGUCGGACCCAGCAGCAGCGCUUCGGAGGCUGACGGGAGUGAGAGUGAGUGAGACUGAAGUCCCGCCGGCAGCCCGAGACUUGGAACAACCAUGGCUGUGGCCGUGUGUUGGAAGUUAAGAAAACAAGUGAUGCUACCCAAACCGUCUUUCACCUCAAGGAGGAAUUAUUGCCAAGGGUCAUCUUAUGCUUCAGGAUUGGUAAUGGUGACAGAUUUCCUGGUCAAUUAAAAACAGGCUGAUAAGACCAGCAUUGUGGCGCAGCAGGUUGGGCCUCCGCCUGCGACACUGACGUCCCAUAUGAAUGCUGGUUCCAAUCCUGGCUGUUCUACUUCUAAUCCAGCUCCCUGCUAAUGCUCCUGGAAGGCAGCAAAGUACCGUGGGUACUUGGGCCCCUGCCACCCACGUGGGAUGGAGUCCUGGGCUCUUGGUUUCCAUCUGGCCCAUCCCUGGCUGUUGUGGCCAUUUGUGGAAUGAACCAGCAGAUGGAAGAUACUCUCUCCUCUCUCUUUCUCUCUCUCUUUCCCUCUCUUUCUGCCCCAGGGCUGUCACUCUGCCUUUCAAAUAAAUUUUAAACCGUGGUUGCUAUGAGACGGUUGUCAGGAGGGUG